CGAAGCCUGACGGAGCAAUACCGCGUGAGGGAAGAAGGCUUUUGGGUUGUAAACCUCUUUUGUCAGGGAAGAAGAAUUGACGGUACCUGAAGAAAAAGCAUCGGCUAACUCCGUGCCAGCAGCCGCGGUAAUACGGAGGAUGCAAGCGUUAUCCGGAAUCAUUGGGCGUAAAGGGUCCGCAGGUGGCGAAUAAAGUCUGCUGUUAAAGACCGGGGCUUAACUCCGGAAAGGCAGUGGAAACUGAUUAGCUAGAGUACGGUAGGGGUAGAGGGAAUUCCCAGUGUAGCGGUGAAAUGCGUAGAUAUUGGGAAGAACACCGGUGGCGAAAGCGCUCUACUAGGCCGAAACUGACACUGAGGGACGAAAGCUAGGGUAGCGAAAGGGAUUAGAUACCCCUGUAGUCUUAGCGGUAAACGAUGGAUACUAGGUGUAGCUUGUAUCGACCCGAGCUGUGCCGAAGCUAACGCGAUAAGUAUCCUGCCUGGGGAGUACGCACGCAAGUGUGAAACUCAAAGGAAUUGACGGGGGCCCGCACAAGCGGUGGAGUAUGUGGUUUAAUUCGAUGCAACGCGAAGAACCUUACCAGGGCUUGACAUGUCGCGAAUCUAGCGGAAACGUUAGAGUGCCUUAGGGAAUGCGAACACAGGUGGUGCAUGGCUGUCGUCAGCUCGUGUCGUGAGAUGUUGGGUUAAGUCCCGCAACGAGCGCAACCCUCGUCCUUAGUUGCCAAUAUUAAGUUAGGCACUCUAGGGAGACUGCCGGGGACAACUCGGAGGAAGGUGGGGAUGACGUCAAGUCAGCAUGCCCCUUACGUCCUGGGCGACACACGUACUACAAUGGUUGGGACAAAGGGCAGCAAGCUCGCGAGAGUAAGCGAAUCUCAUCAAACCCAGCCACAGUUCAGAUUGCAGGCUGCAGCUCGCCUGCAUGAAGUAGGAAUCGCUAGUAAUCGCAGGUCAGCAUACUGCGGUGAGUUCGUUCCCGGGCCUUGUACACACCGCCCGUCACACCAUGGAAGCUGGCUACGCCCGAAGUCGUUACCCUAACCCGGUUUUGGGAGGGGGAUGCCGAAGGUAGAGCUAGUGACUGGGGUGAAGUCGUAACAAGGUAGCCGUACCGGAAGGUGUGGCUGGAUCACCUCCUUU
RNAcentral lists this ribosomal RNA (1145 nucleotides) under uncultured cyanobacterium. Its description in RNAcentral is "bacterial SSU rRNA". It matches the Rfam family "Bacterial small subunit ribosomal RNA", at positions 377 to 1533 of the family's 1533-position model. Lineage: Bacteria; Bacillati; Cyanobacteriota. The record is from RNAcentral.